UACGUAGGGGGCAAGCGUUGCCCGGAUUUAUUGGGCGUAAAGAGCGUGUAGGCGGCCUGAAAGGUCAGCUGUGAAAACUCGAGGCUCAACCUCGAAACGUCGGUUGAAACCAUCUGGCUAGAGUCCGGAAGAGGAGUGUGGAAUUCCCGGUGUAGCGGUGAAAUGCGCAGAUAUCGGGAAGAACACCCGUGGCGAAGGCGGCACUCUGGGACGGUACUGACGCUGAGACGCGAAAGCGUGGGGAGCGAACAGG
Molecule: ribosomal RNA, 253 nt
Filed under: uncultured bacterium
Lineage: Bacteria
Description: partial 16S ribosomal RNA
Rfam family: Bacterial small subunit ribosomal RNA
Source: RNAcentral